GCAGAACACUCCUACGGGAGGCAGCAGUGGGGAAUAUUGCACAAUGGGCGCAAGCCUGAUGCAGCCAUGCCGCGUGUAUGAAGAAGGCCUUCGGGUUGUAAAGUACUUUCAGCAGUGAGGAAGGUGGGUAUGUUAAUAGCAUAUUCAUUUGACGUUAGCUGCAGAAGAAGCACCGGCUAACUCCGUGCCAGCAGCCGCGGUAAUACGGAGGGUGCGAGCGUUAAUCGGAAUUACUGGGCGUAAAGCGCAUGCAGGUGGUUUGUUAAGUCAGAUGUGAAAGCCCGGGGCUCAACCUCGGAAUUGCAUUUGAAACUGGCAAACUAGAGUACUGUAGAGGGGGUAGAAUUUCAGGUGUAGCGGUGAAAUGCGUAGAGAUCUGAAGGAAUACCGGUGGCGAAGGCGGCCCCCUGGACAGAUACUGACACUCAGAUGCGAAAGCGUGGGGAGCAAACAGGAUUAGAUACCCUGGUAG
This 472-nucleotide ribosomal RNA is filed under the name uncultured bacterium. RNAcentral's name for it is "bacterial SSU rRNA". It matches the Rfam family "Bacterial small subunit ribosomal RNA", at positions 328 to 793 of the family's 1533-position model. The record is from RNAcentral.